Molecule: ribosomal RNA, 253 nt
Filed under: uncultured bacterium
Lineage: Bacteria
Description: partial 16S ribosomal RNA
Rfam family: Bacterial small subunit ribosomal RNA
Source: RNAcentral
UACAGAGGUCCCAAGCGUUGUCCGGAUUUAUUGGGCGUAAAGAGCUCGUAGGCGGUUUGUCGCGUCGUCCGUGAAAACUCACAGCUUAACUGUGAGCUUGCGGUCGAUACGGGCAGGCUAGAGUUCGGUAGGGGAGACUGGAAUUCCUGGUGUAGCGGUGAAAUGCGCAGAUAUCAGGAGGAACACCGGUGGCGAAGGCGGGUCUCUGGGCCGAUACUGACGCUGAGGAGCGAAAGCGUGGGGAGCGAACAGG